UAGUCCACGCCGUAAACGAUGUCAACUAGCCGUUGGGAGCAUAUAAGCUCUGAGUGGCGCAGCUAACGCGAUAAGUUGACCGCCUGGGGAGUACGCCGGCAACGGUAAAACUCAAAGGAAUUGACGGGGGCCCGCACAAGCGGUGGAGCAUGUGGUUUAAUUCGAUGCAACGCGAAAAACCUUACCUACCCUUGACAUCCUCAGAACUUGUUAGAGAUAACUUGGUGCCUUCGGGAAUGUGAACACAGGUGGUGCACGGCUGUCGUCAGCUCGUGUCGUGAGAUGUUGGGUUAAGUCCCGCAACGAGCGCAACCCUUGUCUUUAGUUGCCAUCAUUAAGUUGGGCACUUUAAAGAGACUGCCGGUGACAAACCGGAGGAAGGUAAGGAUGACGUCAAGUCAGCAUGCCCCUUAUGCUCUGGGCUACACACGUGCUACAAUGGCCGUGACAAAGAGUUGCUACUUUGUGAAAACAAGCUAAUCUCAUAAACGCGGCCUCAGUUCGGAUUGCG
RNAcentral lists this ribosomal RNA (511 nucleotides) under uncultured bacterium. Its description in RNAcentral is "bacterial SSU rRNA". It matches the Rfam family "Bacterial small subunit ribosomal RNA", at positions 791 to 1302 of the family's 1533-position model. The record is from RNAcentral.